RNAcentral lists this ribosomal RNA (492 nucleotides) under uncultured Arthrobacter sp. Its description in RNAcentral is "bacterial SSU rRNA". It matches the Rfam family "Bacterial small subunit ribosomal RNA", at positions 1 to 505 of the family's 1533-position model. The record is from RNAcentral. Lineage: Bacteria; Bacillati; Actinomycetota; Actinomycetes; Micrococcales; Micrococcaceae.
UAAAGAUUUUUUUUUUUGGCUCAGGAUGAACGCUGGCGGCGUGCUUAACACAUGCAAGUCGAACGAUGAAGCCCAGCUUGCUGGGUGGAUUAGUGGCGAACGGGUGAGUAACACGUGAGUAACCUGCCCCCGACUCUGGGAUAAGCCCGGGAAACUGGGUCUAAUACCGGAUAUUACCUUUGACCGCAUGGUUGUUGGUGGAAAGAUUUAUCGGUGGGGGAUGGACUCGCGGCCUAUCAGCUUGUUGGUGAGGUAAUGGCUCACCAAGGCGACGACGGGUAGCCGGCCUGAGAGGGUGACCGGCCACACUGGGACUGAGACACGGCCCAGACUCCUACGGGAGGCAGCAGUGGGGAAUAUUGCACAAUGGGCGAAAGCCUGAUGCAGCGACGCCGCGUGAGGGAUGACGGCCUUCGGGUUGUAAACCUCUUUCAGUAGGGGAAGGAAGCGAAAGUGACGGUACCUGCAGAAGAAGCGCCGGCUACUACUCCG